This 484-nucleotide ribosomal RNA is filed under the name uncultured bacterium. RNAcentral describes it as "partial 16S ribosomal RNA". It matches the Rfam family "Bacterial small subunit ribosomal RNA", at positions 30 to 507 of the family's 1533-position model. The record is from RNAcentral.
AUUGAACGCUGGCGGCAGGCCUAACACAUGCCAGUCGAGCGGAUGAAGGGAGCUUGCUCCUGGAUUCAGCGGCGGACGGGCGAGUAAUGCCUAGGAAUCUGCCUGGUAGUGGGGGAUAACGUCCGGAAACGGGCGCUAAUACCGCAUACGUCCUGAGGGAGAAAGUGGGGGAUCUUCGGACCUCACGCUGUCAGAUGAGCCUAGGUCGGAUUAGCUAGUUGGUGGGGUAAAGGCCUACCAAGGCGACGAUCCGUAACUGGUCUGAGAGGAUGAUCAGUCACACUGGAACUGAGACACGGUCCAGACUCCUACGGGAGGCAGCAGUGGGGAAUAUUGGACAAUGGGCGAAAGCCUGAUCCAGCCAUGCCGCGUGUGUGAAGAAGGUCUUCGGAUUGUAAAGCACUUUAAGUUGGGAGGAAGGGCAGUAAGUUAAUACCUUGCUGUUUUGACGUUACCAACAGAAUAAGCACCGGCUAACUUCGUG